RNAcentral lists this ribosomal RNA (311 nucleotides) under uncultured eukaryote. RNAcentral's name for it is "partial 18S ribosomal RNA". It matches the Rfam family "Eukaryotic small subunit ribosomal RNA", at positions 1470 to 1796 of the family's 1831-position model. The record is from RNAcentral.
CCCUUAGACGUUCUGGGCCGCACGCGCGCUACACUGACGAAGGCAACGAGCUUUCCUUUACCGAAAGGUACGGGUAAUCUUUUGAAACUUCGUCGUGCUGGGGAUAGAUCCUUGCAAUUUUUGAUCUUAAACGAGGAAUUCCUAGUAAGCGCAAGUCAUCAACUUGCGUUGAUUACGUCCCUGCCCUUUGUACACACCGCCCGUCGCUCCUACCGAUGAAUCGUCCGGUGAAGUUCAUGGAGGGGCGGUUGUUUCAACUGCCGUUGAAGUGAAAUGGACCUCACGAUUUAGAGGAAGGAGAAGUCGUAACA